GACGUAGGAUGCGAGCGUUAUUCGGAUUUAUUGGGCGUAAAGCGUGCGUAGGCGGCUAUUUAAGUCUGGUGUUAAAGCUAGGGGCUCAACCCCUGUGAUGCACUGGAAACUGGGUAGCUUGAGUGCGGUAGGGGAAGGUGGAAUUCCGAGUGUAGCGGUGAAAUGCGUAGAUAUCAGGAAGAACACCCGUGGCGAAGGCGGCUCUCUGGUACGUGACUGACGCUGAGACGCGAAAGCGUGGGGAGCAAACAGG
RNAcentral lists this ribosomal RNA (253 nucleotides) under uncultured bacterium. RNAcentral describes it as "partial 16S ribosomal RNA". It matches the Rfam family "Bacterial small subunit ribosomal RNA", at positions 524 to 776 of the family's 1533-position model. The record is from RNAcentral.